Molecule: ribosomal RNA, 492 nt
Filed under: uncultured bacterium
Lineage: Bacteria
Description: bacterial SSU rRNA
Rfam family: Bacterial small subunit ribosomal RNA
Source: RNAcentral
AUUGAACGCUGGCGGCAUGCUUUACACAUGCAAGUCGAACGGUAACAGGCCGCAAGGUGCUGACGAGUGGCGAACGGGUGAGUAAUGCAUCGGAACGUGCCCAGUCGUGGGGGAUAACGCAGCGAAAGCUGUGCUAAUACCGCAUACGAUCUAUGGAUGAAAGCGGGGGACCGUAAGGCCUCGCGCGAUUGGAGCGGCCGAUGUCAGAUUAGGUAGUUGGUGGGGUAAAGGCCCACCAAGCCAACGAUCUGUAGCUGGUCUGAGAGGACGACCAGCCACACUGGGACUGAGACACGGUCCAGACUCCUACGGGAGGCAGCAGUGGGGAAUUUUGGACAAUGGACGCAAGUCUGAUCCAGCCAUUCCGCGUGCAGGAUGAAGGCCCUCGGGUUGUAAACUGCUUUUGUACGGAACGAAAAGGUUUCUAUUAAUACUAGGGGCUCAUGACGGUACUGUAAGAAUAAGCACCGGCUAACUACGUGCCAGCAGCCG